GCAGUGGUGGUUCAGUGGUAGAGUUCUUGCCUCGUAUGCAGGAGACCUCAGUUUGAUUUCCAGCCAAUGCA
This 71-nucleotide transfer RNA is filed under the name Loxodonta africana (African savanna elephant). It matches the Rfam family "tRNA". From Rfam's summary of the family: Transfer RNA (tRNA) molecules are approximately 80 nucleotides in length. Their secondary structure includes four short double-helical elements and three loops (D, anti-codon, and T loops). Further hydrogen bonds mediate the characteristic L-shaped molecular structure. tRNAs have two regions of fundamental functional importance: the anti-codon, which is responsible for specific mRNA codon recognition, and the 3' end, to which the tRNAs corresponding amino acid is attached (by aminoacyl-tRNA synthetases). tRNAs cope with the degeneracy of the genetic code in two manners: having more than one tRNA (with a specific anti-codon) for a particular amino acid; and 'wobble' base-pairing, i.e. permitting non-standard base-pairing at the 3rd anti-codon position. The record is from Rfam by way of RNAcentral. Lineage: Eukaryota; Metazoa; Chordata; Mammalia; Proboscidea; Elephantidae.